UACGAAGGGGGCUAGCGUUGCUCGGAAUCACUGGGCGUAAAGCGCACGUAGGCGGAUCGUUAAGUCGGAGGUGAAAUCCUGGAGCUCAACUCCAGAACUGCCUUCGAUACUGGCGAUCUUGGAGUCCGGGAGAGGUGAGUGGAACUCCGAGUGUAGAGGUGAAAUUCGUAGAUAUUCGGAAGAACACCGGUGGCGAAGGCGGCUCACUGGCCCGGUACUGACGCUGAGGUGCGAAAGCGUGGGGAGCAAACAGG
Molecule: ribosomal RNA, 254 nt
Filed under: uncultured bacterium
Lineage: Bacteria
Description: partial 16S ribosomal RNA
Rfam family: Bacterial small subunit ribosomal RNA
Source: RNAcentral